GACGAACGCUGGCGGCGUGCUUAACACAUGCAAGUCGAACGAUGAAGCCGGAGCUUGCUCUGGUGAAUUAGUGGCGAACGGGUGAGUAACACGUGAGUAACCUGCCCUUGACUCUGGGAUAACUGCGGGAAACUGUAGCUAGUACCGGAUACGACCCUCGGAGGCAUCUCCUGGGGGUGGAAAGAAUUUCGGUCAAGGAUGGACUCGCGGCCUAUCAGCUAGUUGGUGAGGUAAUGGCUCACCAAGGCGACGACGGGUAGCCGGCCUGAGAGGGUGACCGGCCACACUGGGACUGAGACACGGCCCAGACUCCUACGGGAGGCAGCAGUGGGGAAUAUUGCACAAUGGGCGCAAGCCUGAUGCAGCAACGCCGCGUGAGGGAUGACGGCCUUCGGGUUGUAAACCUCUUUUAGUAGGGAAGAAGCGAAAGUGACGGUACCUGCAGAAAAAGCACCGGCUAACUACGUGCCAGCCGCCGCAGUAA
This 484-nucleotide ribosomal RNA is filed under the name uncultured bacterium. RNAcentral describes it as "partial 16S ribosomal RNA". It matches the Rfam family "Bacterial small subunit ribosomal RNA", at positions 28 to 523 of the family's 1533-position model. The record is from RNAcentral.